Long non-coding RNA from Alexandromys fortis (reed vole), 526 nucleotides. RefSeq lists it as uncharacterized. NCBI's taxonomy places the organism in Eukaryota, Metazoa, Chordata, Mammalia, Rodentia, Cricetidae. The record is from RefSeq and is a predicted model, not a curated record. The transcript has 3 exons.
ACGAAACAUGCAGCUCCUGGAACUAAAAGAACAUUCUGUGAAUUCCCACCAAAGCAUGGGCUGACAGCCUUCAUCUAAAGCCGGAGGACUGCGUGGAGACCUGAGCUGGGAACAGCUUAAUUGGGGAUGAUCGUCCUCAGCUCAUUGGCUCCUGACAGCAGAGGAGAAUCGCUGACACCUAAGCGCACAGGUGCAUCAUACCACUUCCAAAGGGCUAUUUUAUCCACUGGGAUUCCUUGUGCUCAAACUCCUAUCUGCUUAAGUCAAUAGAUAAAAGAUCCAGCUAACUACAGCAUUGGACGUGAGAAAAGAGACGGCCGUCAACAGCAGCUGCCUCUUCAGUACUAGUAAGAAGUCCUAGGCAACCACCAGAUCUAGAGGUACCCAGAGCCACGAGGGGAAGACACGCGUGUACCAGGAUGUGGGCGAUGGUGACAUUAGUGUAAAAUCUAGAGCUGUGCCUUCAGCAUUUUUAUUGCAGCCAGUGCUGUUCCCACCCCAAUUCCCUGGGCAGCCUGUUCUUUUA